RNAcentral lists this ribosomal RNA (293 nucleotides) under uncultured bacterium. Its description in RNAcentral is "partial 16S ribosomal RNA". It matches the Rfam family "Bacterial small subunit ribosomal RNA", at positions 790 to 1084 of the family's 1533-position model. The record is from RNAcentral.
GUAGUCCACGCCGUAAACGUUGGGCGCUAGGUGUGGGGGGUUAUCCACUCCCUCCGUGCCGCAGCUAACGCAUUAAGCGCCCCGCCUGGGGUGUACGGCCGCAAGGCUAAAACUCAAAGGAAUUGACGGGGCCCGCACAAGCAGCGGAGCGUGCGGUUUAAUUCGUCGCAACGCGAAGAACCUUACCAAGGCUUGACAUGCAGGGAAAUCUCCCAGAGAUGGGAGGUCCGCAAGGGUCCUGCACAGGUGGUGCAUGGUUGUCGUCAGCUCGUGUCGUGAGAUGUUGGGUUAAG